RNAcentral lists this ribosomal RNA (301 nucleotides) under uncultured bacterium. RNAcentral's name for it is "partial 16S ribosomal RNA". It matches the Rfam family "Bacterial small subunit ribosomal RNA", at positions 509 to 807 of the family's 1533-position model. The record is from RNAcentral.
CAGUAGCCACGGUAAUACAGAGGAUGCAAGCGUUAUCCGGAAUGAUUGGGCGUAAAGCGUCUGUAGGUGGCUUUUCAAGUCCGCCGUCAAAUCCCAGGGCUCAACCCUGGACAGGCGGUGGAAACUACCAAGCUGUAGUACGGUAGGGGCAGAGGGAGUUUCCGGUGGAGCGGUGAAAUGCGUUGAGAUCGGAAAGAACACCAACGGCGAAAGCACUCUGCUGGGCCGACACUGACACUGAGAGACGAAAGCUAGGGGAGCAAAUGGGAUUAGAUACCCGCGUAGUCCCUGUCUCUUAUAC